RNAcentral lists this unclassified non-coding RNA (358 nucleotides) under soil metagenome. Its description in RNAcentral is "partial contains 5.8S ribosomal RNA, internal transcribed spacer 2, and large subunit ribosomal RNA". The stretch from base 2 to 120 matches the Rfam family "5.8S ribosomal RNA", at positions 36 to 154 of the family's 154-position model. The record is from RNAcentral.
UAUGAAGAACGCAGCGAAAUGCGAUAAGUAAUGUGAAUUGCAGAAUUCAGUGAAUCAUCGAAUCUUUGAACGCACAUUGCGCCCGCCAGUAUUCUGGCGGGCAUGCCUGUCCGAGCGUCAUUUCAACCCUCGAACCCCUCCGGGGGGUCGGCGUUGGGGACCUCGGGAGCCCCUAAGACGGGAUCCCGGCCCCGAAAUACAGUGGCGGUCUCGCCGCAGCCUCUCCUGCGCAGUAGUUUGCACAACUCGCACCGGGAGCGCGGCGCGUCCACGUCCGUAAAACACCCAACUUCUGAAAUGUUGACCUCGGAUCAGGUAGGAAUACCCGCUGAACUUAAGCAUAUCAAUAAGCGGAGGA